CAGUGGCAGACGGGUGAGUAACACGUGGGAACCUUCCUAGAGGUACGGAACAACGCAGGGAAACUUGCGCUAAUACCGUAUGUGCUCUUGCGAGGAAAGAUUUAUCGCCUUUAGACGGGCCCGCGUCGGAUUAGCUAGUUGGUGGGGUAACGGCCUACCAAGGCAACGAUCCGUAGCUGAUCUGAGAGGAUGAUCAGCCACACUGGAACUGAGACACGGUCCAG
RNAcentral lists this ribosomal RNA (224 nucleotides) under uncultured bacterium. Its description in RNAcentral is "partial 16S ribosomal RNA". It matches the Rfam family "Bacterial small subunit ribosomal RNA", at positions 93 to 334 of the family's 1533-position model. The record is from RNAcentral.